GGAGAUAUGGCUCAGUGGGUAGAGUGAUUGCCUAGCAUGUACCAAGGCCCUGGGUUCAACCCCCAGCAUCACCA
RNAcentral lists this transfer RNA (74 nucleotides) under Ictidomys tridecemlineatus (thirteen-lined ground squirrel). Its description in RNAcentral is "Spermophilus tridecemlineatus (thirteen-lined ground squirrel) tRNA". It matches the Rfam family "tRNA". From Rfam's summary of the family: Transfer RNA (tRNA) molecules are approximately 80 nucleotides in length. Their secondary structure includes four short double-helical elements and three loops (D, anti-codon, and T loops). The record is from Rfam by way of RNAcentral. Lineage: Eukaryota; Metazoa; Chordata; Mammalia; Rodentia; Sciuridae.